This 688-nucleotide ribosomal RNA is filed under the name uncultured Bacteroidota bacterium. Its description in RNAcentral is "bacterial SSU rRNA". It matches the Rfam family "Bacterial small subunit ribosomal RNA", at positions 34 to 715 of the family's 1533-position model. Lineage: Bacteria; Pseudomonadati; Bacteroidota. The record is from RNAcentral.
CGCUAGCUACAGGCUUAACACAUGCAAGUCGAGGGGCAGCACAGUGUAGCAAUACACGGGUGGCGACCGGCGCACGGGUGCGUAACGCGUAUCCAACCUUCCCGUUACUCUUGGAUAGCCUUCCGAAAGGGAGAUUAAUACAAGAUGGUAUUCAAAUUCCGCAUGUUAUUUGAAUUAAAGAUUUAUCGGUAACGGAUGGGGAUGCGUGACAUUAGAUAGUAGGCGGGGUAACGGCCCACCUAGUCUACGAUGUCUAGGGGUUCUGAGAGGAAGGUCCCCCACACUGGAACUGAGACACGGUCCAGACUCCUACGGGAGGCAGCAGUGAGGAAUAUUGGUCAAUGGUCGGAAGACUGAACCAGCCAAGUAGCGUGAAGGAUGAAGGUUCUAUGGAUUGUAAACUUCUUUUAUACGGGAAUAAAACACCUUACGUGUAGGGUCUUGUAUGUACCGUAUGAAUAAGCAUCGGCUAACUCCGUGCCAGCAGCCGCGGUAAUACGGAGGAUGCGAGCGUUAUCCGGAUUUAUUGGGUUUAAAGGGAGCGUAGACGGGAUGUUAAGUCAGUUGUGAAAGGCUGCGGCUCAACCGCAGCACUGCAGUUGAUACUGGCGUCCUUGAGUGCGGUUGAGGUAUGAAGAAUUCGUGGUGUAGCGGUGAAAUGCUUAGAUAUCUUGAAGGGCUCCGAUUG